AGUGAACGCUGGCGGUAGGCCUAACACAUGCAAGUCGAACGGCAGCACAGUAAGAGCUUGCUCUUACGGGUGGCGAGUGGCGGACGGGUGAGGAAUACAUCGGAAUCUACUUUUUCGUGGGGGAUAACGUAGGGAAACUUACUCUAAUACCGCAUACGACCUACGGGUGAAAGCAGGGGAUCUUCGGACCUUGCGCGAUUGAAUGAGCCGAUGUCGGAUUAGCUAGUUGGCGGGGUAAAGGCCCACCAAGUCGACGAUCCGUAGCUGGUCUGAGAGGAUGAUCAGCCACACUGGAACUGAGACACGGUCCAGACUCCUACGGGAGGCAGCAGUGGGGAAUAUUGGACAAUGGGCGGAAGCAUGAUACAGCCAUACCGCGUGGGUGACGAAGGCGUUCGGGUUGUAAAGACGUUUUGUUGGGAAAGAAAAGCAGCAGGUUAAGACCCCGCUGUUCUGACGGUACCCAAAGAAUAAGCACCGGCUAACUUCGUG
This 492-nucleotide ribosomal RNA is filed under the name uncultured bacterium. RNAcentral describes it as "partial 16S ribosomal RNA". It matches the Rfam family "Bacterial small subunit ribosomal RNA", at positions 29 to 507 of the family's 1533-position model. The record is from RNAcentral.